RNAcentral lists this ribosomal RNA (550 nucleotides) under uncultured soil bacterium. Its description in RNAcentral is "bacterial SSU rRNA". It matches the Rfam family "Bacterial small subunit ribosomal RNA", at positions 330 to 898 of the family's 1533-position model. The record is from RNAcentral.
CCCAGACUCCUACGGGAGGCAGCAGUGGGGAAUAUUGGACAAUGGGCGCAAGCCUGAUCCAGCCAUGCCGCGUGGGUGAUGAAGGCCCUAGGGUUGUAAAGCCCUUUCGGCGGGGAAGAUAAUGACGGUACCCGCAGAAGAAGCCCCGGCUAACUACGUGCCAGCAGCCGCGGUAAUACGUAGGUGACGAGCGUUGUCCGGAUUUACUGGGCGUAAAGAGCGCGCAGGCGGUCGUACAAGUCGAGUGUGAAAUCCCCCGGCUCAACUGGGGAACGUCGCUCGAUACUGUUCGACUUGAAGGCGGGAGAGGGAAGCGGAAUUCCCGGUGUAGUGGUGAAAUGCGUAGAUAUCGGGAGGAACACCAGUGGCGAAGGCGGCUUUCUGGCCCGUUCUUGACGCUGAGGCGCGAAAGCUAGGGUAGCAAACGGGAUUAGAUACCCUGGUAGUCCACGCCCUAAACGAUGCAUAUUUGGUGUGGGCAGUUCAUUCUGUCCGUGCCGGAGCUAACGCGUUAAAUAUGCCGCCUGGGGAGUACAGUCGCAAGGCUGAA